AAAGAUAUACCUCAAAAUCUCCAAAAACCAGUAGCUCAAAACAUUAUAUGUGUAACAGAAUUAAGAAAAACAUAAGCGAUAAAAGUGCAAUGGUGAUGGUGGUGUGUAGCAGCCGUAUGUUCCAUUUGUCGACGACCUCCUCAACAGGAACAGGAACAGAAUCAUCGUCGUUGAAGAAGAGCGGGCAUAAGCUUCGAUUUCAUCGUCCUCAAUCUCAACCGUUGGUCAUGGAAACUGUGCAGGCCAAAGACGAAUCUAGUGCUCCACCUCGACGUUUGAUUUUGCUUCGCCACGCAAAGAGUUCAUGGGAGGAUCGAUCCCUUAAAGACCAUGAUCGUCCUCUGAGUAAAGCUGGAGAAACUGAUGCUAUACAAGUCACUUACAAGCUCCAACAGCUGGGUUGGAUCCCUGGGCUUAUUUUAUCAAGUGAUGCAAGACGGACAAGGCAAACUCUUAAAAUCAUGCAGGACCAAGUGCAAGCCUUCUUGGAAGCUGAGAUACACUUUAUUUCAAGCUUUUAUUCUGUUGCAGCAAUGGAUGGGCAGACAGCUGAUCACCUCCAACAAGCUAUCUGUAGAUAUGCUAGAGAUGAGAUACUUACAGUUAUAGCUGUUUCAGGUGUAUGGGACAUAAUAGAGGGUGGGAGGAGGCAGCCUCUACAUUUUCUGGUGCCUCCAUAGAACUGAAGACUUGCAAUGCUGCGUUGCUUGAAGCUGCUGGCAAAUCAUGGGAAGAGGCAUUUCUUUUGGCGGGACAUGGUGGGUGGAAGCUCCAGCAAUUAGUGAAGCCAAAUGGUAUCCCCUAGGGCUGGGCCAAAUUAAAGAGUACACCAUAGCAAUUAGCAAACAAACAGAUAAUAUAAAAUGGCCACUGAAUUCCCUAUAGUUGUUGUGGUGGUGGUUGUAUUAAAGAGUAGUGGUUUGUUUGUUUUUUAUCCAUCAACAAAUUAAUGAACCAAAUAUAAAUUAUAACUU
This is an RNA transcript of Cynara cardunculus var. scolymus (artichoke), 974 nucleotides long. RefSeq lists it as uncharacterized. The record is from RefSeq and is a predicted model, not a curated record. The transcript is spliced from 5 exons. NCBI's taxonomy places the organism in Eukaryota, Viridiplantae, Streptophyta, Magnoliopsida, Asterales, Asteraceae.